CCUACGGGACGCACCAGUGGGGAAUCUUGCACAAUGGGCGAAAGCCUGAUGCAGCAACGCCGCGUGCGGGAAGAAGGCCCUAGGGUUGUAAACCGCUUUCAGCAGGGAAGAAACUGACGGUACCUGCAGAAGAAGGUGCGGCCAACUACGUGCCAGCAACCGCGGUGACACGUAGGCACCAAGCGUUGUCCGGAUUUAUUGGGCGUAAAGAGCUCGUAGGCGGUUCAGUAAGUCGGGUGUGAAAACUCUGGGCUCAACCCAGAGCCGCCACCCGAUACUGCUGUGACUUGAGUACGGUAGGGGAGUGGGGAAUUCCUGGUGUAGCGGUGAAAUGCGCAGAUAUCAGGAGGAACACCGGUGGCGAAGGCGCCACUCUGGGCCGUAACUGACGCUGAGGAGCGAAAGCGUGGGUAGCAAACAGGAUUAGAUACCCGCGUAGUC
Molecule: ribosomal RNA, 441 nt
Filed under: uncultured bacterium
Lineage: Bacteria
Description: bacterial SSU rRNA
Rfam family: Bacterial small subunit ribosomal RNA
Source: RNAcentral